Molecule: ribosomal RNA, 616 nt
Filed under: Scheffersomyces tanahashii
Lineage: Eukaryota; Fungi; Ascomycota; Pichiomycetes; Serinales; Debaryomycetaceae
Description: partial large subunit ribosomal RNA
Rfam family: Eukaryotic large subunit ribosomal RNA
Source: RNAcentral
UGCAUAUCCCAAAAGCGGAGGAAAAGAAACCAACAGGGAUUGCCUUAGUAACGGCGAGUGAGCGGCAAAAGCUCAAAUUUGAAAUCUGGCACCUUCGGUGUCCGAGUUGUAAUUUGAAGAAGGUAACUUUGGAGUUAGCUCUUGUCUAUGUUCCUUGGAACAGGACGUCACAGAGGGUGAGAAUCCCGUGCGAUGAGAUGUCUAACUCUAUGUAAAGUGCUUUCGAAGAGUCGAGUUGUUUGGGAAUGCAGCUCUAAGUGGGUGGUAAAUUCCAUCUAAAGCUAAAUAUUGGCGAGAGACCGAUAGCGAACAAGUACAGUGAUGGAAAGAUGAAAAGAACUUUGAAAAGAGAGUGAAAAAGUACGUGAAAUUGUUGAAAGGGAAGGGUUUGAGAUCAGACUUGGUAUUUUGUAUGUCUUGCUUUCGGGUGGGGCCUCUGCAGUUUACUGGGCCAGCAUCGGUUUGGAUGGUAGGAUAAUGACAUUGGAAUGUGGCACUACUUCGGUGGUGUGUUAUAGACUUUGUUGAUACUGCCUGUCUAGACCGAGGACUGCGUCUUUGACUAGGAUGCUGGCAUAAUGAUCCUAAACCGCCCGUCUAAAAACCGGGACAACAA